GACGAACGCUGGCGGCGUGCUUAACACAUGCAAGUCGAACGGAAAGGCCCUGCUUUUGUGGGGUGCUCGAGUGGCGAACAGGUGAGUAACACGUGAGUAACCUGCCCUUGACUUUGGGAUAACUUCAGGAAACUGGGGCUAAUACCGGAUAGGAGCUCCUGCUGCAUGGUGGGGGUUGGAAAGUUUCGGCGGUUGGGGAUGGACUCGCGGCUUAUCAGCUUGUUGGUGGGGUAGUGGCUUACCAAGGCUUUGACGGGUAGCCGGCCUGAGAGGGUGACCGGCCACAUUGGGACUGAGAUACGGCCCAGACUCCUACGGGAGGCAGCAGUGGGGAAUAUUGCACAAUGGGCGGAAGCCUGAUGCAGCAACGCCGCGUGCGGGAUGACGGCCUUCGGGUUGUAAACCGCUUUCGCCUGUGACGAAGCGUGAGUGACGGUAAUGGGUAAAGAAACACCGGCUAACUACGU
RNAcentral lists this ribosomal RNA (467 nucleotides) under uncultured bacterium. RNAcentral describes it as "partial 16S ribosomal RNA". It matches the Rfam family "Bacterial small subunit ribosomal RNA", at positions 28 to 506 of the family's 1533-position model. The record is from RNAcentral.